UGAAAUCCAAUCUCUAGAACUACGCAAUACACCAACCGCUCCAUUUCAUAACGAACUUCGUACGAACCUUAAUUGUCCAGUUUCCUGGACCAAUUGAUAUCGGAUUGAGUCCAAAACUUUAGGAACAUCAUAAUGUUGUGGGAGGAGCUAAUUGGUGGGUUUUGAGUGCAAUCCAAUCUCUAGAACAAUGCAAUACACUGACCACUCAAUUU
Molecule: long non-coding RNA, 212 nt
Filed under: Prunus persica (peach)
Lineage: Eukaryota; Viridiplantae; Streptophyta; Magnoliopsida; Rosales; Rosaceae
Description: long non-coding RNA (PPER_LNC007020)
Source: RNAcentral